AGCGCGGUGGUCCCACCUGACCCCAUGCCGAACUCAGAAGUGAAACGCCGUAGCGCCGAUGGUAGUGUGGGGUCUCCCCAUGCGAGAGUAGGGAAUUGCCAGACA
Molecule: ribosomal RNA, 105 nt
Filed under: Escherichia coli KOEGE 58 (171a)
Lineage: Bacteria; Pseudomonadati; Pseudomonadota; Gammaproteobacteria; Enterobacterales; Enterobacteriaceae
Source: RNAcentral